AUACCGUGAAACUGCGAAUGGCUCAUUAAAUCAGUUAUCGUUUAUUUGAUAGUACCUUACUACUUGGAUAACCGUGGUAAUUCUAGAGCUAAUACAUGCUGAAAACCCCGACUUCGGAAGGGGUGUAUUUAUUAGAUAAAAAACCAACGCCCUUCGGGGCUUCUUGGUGAUUCAUGAUAACUUAACGGAUCGCAUGGCCUUGCGCCGGCGACGGUUCAUUCAAAUUUCUGCCCUAUCAACUUUCGAUGGUAAGGUAUUGGCUUACCAUGGUUUCAACGGGUAACGGGGAAUUAGGGUUCGAUUCCGGAGAGGGAGCCUGAGAAACGGCUACCACAUCCAAGGAAGGCAGCAGGCGCGCAAAUUACCCAAUCCCGACACGGGGAGGUAGUGACAAUAAAUACUGAUACAGGGCUCUUUUGGGUCUUGUAAUUGGAAUGAGUACAAUUUAAACCUCUUAACGAGGAACAAUUGGAGGGCAAGUCUGGUGCCAGCAGCCGCGGUAAUUCCAGCUCCAAUAGCGUAUAUUAAAGUUGUUGCAGUUAAAAAGCUCGUAGUUGAACCUUGGGUCUGGCUGGCAGGUCCGCCUCACCGCGUGUACUUGUCCGGCCGGGCCUUCCUUCUGGAGAACCUCAUGCCCUUCACUGGGCGUGUUGGGGACCAGGACUUUUACUUUGAAAAAAUUAGAGUGUUCAAAGCAGGCCUUUGCUCGAAUACGUUAGCAUGGAAUAAUAAAAUAGGACGUGCGGUCCUAUUUUGUUGGUUUCUAGGACCGCCGUAAUGAUUAAUAGGGACAGUCGGGGGCAUCAGUAUUCAAUUGUCAGAGGUGAAAUUCUUGGAUUUAUUGAAGACUAACUACUGCGAAAGCAUUUGCCAAGGAUGUUUUCAUUAAUCAGUGAACGAAAGUUAGGGGAUCGAAGACGAUCAGAUACCGUCGUAGUCUUAACCGUAAACUAUGCCGACUAGGGAUCGGGCGAUGUUCUUUUUCUGACUCGCUCGGCACCUUACGAGAAAUCAAAG
Molecule: ribosomal RNA, 1017 nt
Filed under: Pseudoophiobolus subhyalinisporus
Lineage: Eukaryota; Fungi; Ascomycota; Dothideomycetes; Pleosporales; Phaeosphaeriaceae
Description: SSU rRNA
Rfam family: Eukaryotic small subunit ribosomal RNA
Source: RNAcentral